CCUAACACAUGCAAGUCGAACGGUAACAGGAAGCAGCUUGCUGCUUCGCUGACGAGUGGCGGACGGGUGAGUAAUGUCUGGGAAGCUGCCUGAUGGAGGGGGAUAACUACUGGAAACGGUAGCUAAUACCGCAUAAUGUCGCAAGACCAAAGAGGGGGACCUUCGGGCCUCUUGCCAUCGGAUGUGCCCAGAUGGGAUUAGCUUGUUGGUGGGGUAACGGCUCACCAAGGCGACGAUCCCUAGCUGGUCUGAGAGGAUGACCAGCCACACUGGAACUGAGACACGGUCCAGACUCCUACGGGAGGCAGCAGUGGGGAAUAUUGCACAAUGGGCGCAAGCCUGAUGCAGCCAUGCCGCGUGUAUGAAGAAGGCCUUCGGGUUGUAGAGACUUUCAGCGGGGAG
Molecule: ribosomal RNA, 402 nt
Filed under: uncultured bacterium
Lineage: Bacteria
Description: bacterial SSU rRNA
Rfam family: Bacterial small subunit ribosomal RNA
Source: RNAcentral